This 50-nucleotide non-coding RNA is filed under the name Lactobacillus gigeriorum. Its description in RNAcentral is "Na+-I sequence". It matches the Rfam family "Na+ riboswitch aptamer (DUF1646)". From Rfam's summary of the family: Proteobacteria, NC10, Acidobacteria, Verrucomicrobia. Lineage: Bacteria; Bacillati; Bacillota; Bacilli; Lactobacillales; Lactobacillaceae. The record is from RNAcentral.
GGUUGGAGUUGUAAAGCUUUCAAGAAUCGGGUCUCUUUGGGUCAGGAGGC